UUUUCCAAGGUUUUAUAUUUUUUGAAUUUUUUAUUAAUUUAUAAUGCCCUCUAGACUGACUGGUCAAACCAUCGGUCUAUACCUCAAGGGGGCAUUGUAAAGUAUUAAUUUUCCAAAUUUUCUUUCAUAGCCAUGUUUGGCACAUGUGGGUCACCAUGUACAACAAAAAUUGGGUGAUUUGGAGGUGGUGGAAAAAAUCACGUAUGUUCAAAAACUGGCUUAAGUUAGACCAAAUGGCCCCUCCGGAAUGCGAUGAUUUUUUCGACCACCUCCAAAUCACCUCUAUUUUGGCACACAUGAUCUCUUGCACAAACAAAGCUAGUUUUCCAAGGUUUUGUAUUUUUUUGAAUUUUUUAUUAAUUUGUAAUGCCCUCUAGACUGACUGGUCAAACCAUCGGUCUAUACCUCAAGGGGGCAUUGUAAAGUAUUAAUUUUGCAAAUUUUCUUUCAUAGCCAUGUUUGGCACAUGUGGGUCACCAUGUACAACAAAAUGUGGGUGAUUUGGAGGUGGUGGAAAAAAUCACGUAUGUUCAAAACCUGGCUUAAGUUAGACCAAAUGGCCCCUCC
RNAcentral lists this long non-coding RNA (567 nucleotides) under Triticum aestivum (bread wheat). RNAcentral's name for it is "long non-coding RNA (TAES_LNC009580)". Lineage: Eukaryota; Viridiplantae; Streptophyta; Magnoliopsida; Poales; Poaceae. The record is from RNAcentral.